CCCAGGGCCCUCUGCUUCUACUUUGCUUGCGUACAAGCCAAAAGCUCAGCUCAGCUCACAGUCUUGAGUGGUUCGUGAGUGAUGUGGGCGCCGUCGACCUUCAGACUUGCUUUCAUAUUGUCUGCCGACUUUGAACCUGCGUUAAGUGAUACAACGUCAUUUGUUCAAAUGGUAUUUUUAUUUUGAAGUAGAUGGCUUUUUUAGAAACAAACAAUUCUGUUUGCAUAAACUGUGUUGCAAUUAGUGUGUCAUUUCGUCUUCUUCUGCACUUAAGGAACGGAAAAAGCACUUGGGAAGGUCAUGUAAAUAAUGUGUGGGCGAACAUGUCUCGAUGUCCCGAUUUCAAUAAAUUAACAAAUGAUAUACAUC
Molecule: long non-coding RNA, 369 nt
Organism: Hippocampus comes (tiger tail seahorse)
Lineage: Eukaryota; Metazoa; Chordata; Actinopteri; Syngnathiformes; Syngnathidae
Exons: 2
Source: RefSeq, a predicted model, not a curated record